GGGGCAACCCUGGCUGGCGAGUGGCGAACGGGUGAGUAAUACAUCGGAACGUGCCCAGUCGUGGGGGAUAACUACGCCAAAGCGUAGCUAAUACCGCAUACGAUCUACGGAUGAAAGAGGGGGAUCGCAAGACCUCGCGCGAUUGGAGCGGCCGAUGGCAGAUUAGGUAGUUGGUGGGGUGAAGGCUCACCAAGCCGACGAUCUGUAGCUGGUCUGAGAGGACGACCAGCCACACUGGGACUGAGACACGGCCCAGACUCCUACGGGAGGCAGCAGUGGGGAAUUUUGGACAAUGGGCGCAAGCCUGAUCCAGCCAUUCCGCGUGCAGGAUGAAGGCCCUCGGGUUGUAAACUGCUUUUGUACGGAACGAAACGGCGCUUUCUAAUACAGAGCGCUAAUGACGGUACCGUAAGAAUAAGCACCGGCUAACUACGUGCCAGCAGCCGCGGUAAUACGUA
This 458-nucleotide ribosomal RNA is filed under the name Ramlibacter sp. ARS-64. RNAcentral's name for it is "bacterial SSU rRNA". It matches the Rfam family "Bacterial small subunit ribosomal RNA", at positions 76 to 529 of the family's 1533-position model. Lineage: Bacteria; Pseudomonadati; Pseudomonadota; Betaproteobacteria; Burkholderiales; Comamonadaceae. The record is from RNAcentral.